GUAGGUGGCAAGCGUUGUCCGGAAUUAUUGGGCGUAAAGCGCGCGCAGGCGGUUCGUUUAAGUCUGAUGUGAAAGCCCACGGGCUCAACCGUGGAGGGUCAUUGGAAACUGGAGAACUUGAGUACAGAAGAGGAAAGCGGAAUUCCACGUGUAGCGGUGAAAUGCGUAGAGAUGUGGAGGAACACCAGUGGCGAAGGCGGCUUUCUGGUCUGUAACUGACGCUGAGGCGCGAAAGCGUGGGGAGCAAACAGGAUUAGAUACCCUGGUAGUCCACGCCGUAAACGAUGAGUGCUAAGUGUUAGGGGGUUUCCGCCCCUUAGUGCUGCAGCUAGCGCAUUAAGCACUCCGCCUGGGGAGUACGGCCGCAAGGCUG
RNAcentral lists this ribosomal RNA (373 nucleotides) under uncultured organism. RNAcentral describes it as "partial 16S ribosomal RNA". It matches the Rfam family "Bacterial small subunit ribosomal RNA", at positions 527 to 896 of the family's 1533-position model. The record is from RNAcentral.